Molecule: microRNA, 22 nt
Filed under: Pristionchus pacificus
Lineage: Eukaryota; Metazoa; Nematoda; Chromadorea; Rhabditida; Neodiplogasteridae
Description: ppc-miR-2234a
Source: miRBase by way of RNAcentral
UGAUAUGUCAUCAUCUUCCUUU